Bos taurus (domestic cattle) is the source of this 72-nucleotide non-coding RNA. The record is from Rfam. NCBI's taxonomy places the organism in Eukaryota, Metazoa, Chordata, Mammalia, Artiodactyla, Bovidae.
ACCUUACUAUUUUAGUUGGUAAAGAAUCUGCCUGAAAGGCAGGAGACCCAGGUUCGAUUCCUGAGUUGGGAA